Non-coding RNA from Mycena alexandri, 104 nucleotides. The record is from the annotation of a GenBank genome assembly. Lineage: Eukaryota; Fungi; Basidiomycota; Agaricomycetes; Agaricales; Mycenaceae.
GACCUGGUGGCGUAACUGGUAACGUGCCACAUUUCCACUGUGAAAGGUUACAGUGACCCAUAAUCUACAAAUGCGAGACCCUCGUUCGAUUCGAGGUCAGGCCG